Non-coding RNA from Schistosoma mattheei, 78 nucleotides. NCBI's taxonomy places the organism in Eukaryota, Metazoa, Platyhelminthes, Trematoda, Strigeidida, Schistosomatidae. The record is from Rfam.
AGGUUUUCGAAUCCGUGUAGAGAUUUCGUCAGACACCAACCUAUUUGGGCUGAUUAGAUUUUCAAGAUAAGUGAAGCA